GGAAUCCUUGAGAUUUUAGUGGCGCAGCUAACGCAUUAAGUUGACCGCCUGGGGARUACGGCGCCCAAGGUUAAAACUCAAAUGAAUUGRCGGGGGCCCGCCCAAGCGGGGGAACAUGKGGUUUAAUUCGAAGCAACCCCAAGAACCUUACCMGGCCUUGCCAUGCAGAGAACUUUCCAGAAAUGGAUUGGUGCCUUCGGGAAUUSAGACACAGGUGCUGCAUGGGUGGCSUCAGUUCGUGUCUUGAGAUGUUGGGUUAAAUCCCGUAACGAGCCCAACCCUUGUCCUUAGUUACCAGCACGUUAUGGUGGGCACUUUAAGGAGACUGCCGGUGACAAACCGGAGGAAGGUGGGGAGGAGGUCAAGUCAUCAUGGCCCUUAGGGCCUGGGUUACCCACUUGCUCCAAUGGUCGGUACAGAGGGUUGMCAAGCCGCGAGGCGGAGCUAAUCUCACAAAACCGAUUGUAAUCCGGAUCGCAAUCUGCAAUUCGAUUGCGKGAAUUCGGAAUCGCUAGUAAUCCAGAAUCAGAAUGUCGCGGUGAAUACGUUCCCGGGCCUUGUACACACCGCCCGUCACACCAUGGGAGUGGGUUGCACCAGAAGCAGGUAGUCUAACCUUCGG
Molecule: ribosomal RNA, 622 nt
Filed under: Pseudomonas sp.
Lineage: Bacteria; Pseudomonadati; Pseudomonadota; Gammaproteobacteria; Pseudomonadales; Pseudomonadaceae
Description: bacterial SSU rRNA
Source: RNAcentral